This 591-nucleotide long non-coding RNA is filed under the name Homo sapiens (human). RNAcentral describes it as "HSALNT0343114". The record is from RNAcentral. Lineage: Eukaryota; Metazoa; Chordata; Mammalia; Primates; Hominidae.
CUCUCUCUUUCCAGAAAACGAGUGUGCGAGAAGUAUGUUGUAAUUGAAGUAGCAUACUGCCUGACACCCAAGAGGUUGCUCUGUAAGUGAAUUGCCUUUCACCUCCUGCCAUGAUUCUGAGGCCCCCAGCCAUGUGGAACUGGAGAAGGGAGAUGAAAUAAUACCAGCAUCCUGAACCUGAAUGUCCAGCUUCGCCUUGUUCUUUGUGGAUUAUAAGACCAUUGAUUAAAUAAAUCCUUUCAUCAAAAUUAUCUUAAAAAAGAAACUACCAUCUAAAUCCAGUUAUUCCAUCUGACUUGGUAGCAGUGAUGUUUGGAGUUUAGGACCUAAAGGUGAAAUGGGGAAAAUCUGGGUGCUCGGAAAGACACCAGAAGCACACAGAAGAAGAUCAUAUGAAGACACAACAAGAAGGUGACUAGCUGCAAGCCAAGAAGAGAAGCCUCAGAAGAAAUCAAACGUACUAGCACCUUGAUCUUGGAAUUCCAGUCUCCAAAGCUGCGAGAAAAUAAAAUUCUGUUGCUUAAGCUGCCAAGACUAUGGUAUUUUCUUAUGGCAAUCUUAGCAAAAUAACCCUAUUAGCAAACAAAUGCA